Molecule: long non-coding RNA, 822 nt
Organism: Ruditapes philippinarum (Manila clam)
Lineage: Eukaryota; Metazoa; Mollusca; Bivalvia; Venerida; Veneridae
Exons: 3
Source: RefSeq, a predicted model, not a curated record
CGAACAAGAAAGACAUGUUUUCAAUGUCUCUUGUUUUACGCAGUAACUUAUAUAAGAGUUCAAGGUCAUAAUUGUUAUUAUAAUAAGUAACUCAAAGAAAUUAAUGUAGCGGAAAGAUGUUAAAGGUUACAAUGUACUAAAUUUUUGGGUCCCCAUUUUAUAAAAUGAUAUAUUAAUAAUAUUUAAAUCUUUAAAGAUGGAAGAGAAAAACGAUAAAAAACAUAAAAUCUACUAUGUAUUAAUCAAAGUGAGGGAGGGGUGGGGUGUGUUUGAGGGUGUACUACAAAAAAAAGUAACACAAGGAACCAAUCAAAAGUUGUCAAAUCGUUUAAAAAUACUAUUCAACAUGAUGAAAAAAGUUGAAAACCAAUCAGAAGGUUACUAUCUAUGCACCUGGUGCAUCUAAUGAUGAUUUUGAAGGGGAAGAUGAGAUGUUCUACGCGAUUCCAGUCACUCUUCUACAAUAAAAAAAGAAAGAAUGAAAUUUGAAUUUUGUGUGCUGUGACUGUAAUAGCUGAAAGAAUAAAUACGUGUAUCUAAUUACUGUUUUAUUUUGUAAUGUCCAUAGGCUAGUGAAGAAAUGCCAUCAUUUAGUAAAUAUCGCUUAUCAUCAAAGCAAGACAGUCUAUUUUUCUUAAUAUUUUCGAGAUAAAUUUCAUGAUUAUGACUGCGAAAUGUAUUCAUUUGAGAAACUAAUUGUGAAUCAUUGAAUAAUGUGUCUUUAUAAUGCCGUAAGCUUAAAUCUUUUUUGACAACCACCUUUGAUAUGCCUUUAGCACUUUUGUCUUCUUUACCACCACAGCUAAAGGCAUACAUUUUCGA